AACGAAUGCUGGCGGCAUGCCUAACACAUGCAAGUCGAACGAGACCUUCGGGUCUAGUGGCGCACGGGUGCGUAACGCGUGGGAACCUGCCCUUAGGUUCGGAAUAACUCCCCGAAAGGGGUGCUAAUACCGGAUAAUGUCUUCGGACCAAAGAUUUAUCGCCUUUGGAUGGGCCCGCGUUGGAUUAGCUAGUUGGUAGGGUAAAAGCCUACCAAGGCGACGAUCCAUAGCUGGUCUGAGAGGAUGAUCAGCCACACUGGGACUGAGACACGGCCCAGACUCCUACGGGAGGCAGCAGUGGGGAAUAUUGGACAAUGGGCGAAAGCCUGAUCCAGCAAUGCCGCGUGAGUGAUGAAGGCCUUAGGGUUGUAAAGCUCUUUUACCCGGGAUGAUCAUGACAGUACCGGGAGAAUAAGCUCCGGCUAACUCCGUG
RNAcentral lists this ribosomal RNA (433 nucleotides) under uncultured bacterium. RNAcentral's name for it is "partial 16S ribosomal RNA". It matches the Rfam family "Bacterial small subunit ribosomal RNA", at positions 29 to 507 of the family's 1533-position model. The record is from RNAcentral.